GAUUGACAAAAUCUGUUAAGGGGUUUGGUGGGCUAAAAUUAUUUUGGGGGAAAAUUGGUAUUUUAAAAGGUACAUAGUGAAAGCAAAAUAAAAGAAUUCACCUAAAUUCCAAUCCAAAUGCCAAGAAAUCCAAUCCUGAAUCCAGCACCUCUCCUCAAAUUUCAAUAUCAUUUGAAUCCCAAAUGUAAGUCUAACGAUUUUGACCAGGUGGAACUAAUCUUUCUCACCUAUUCUCUUCUGUGGGUUAGCAGCCAAGUGAAAGCCCAUGUGGCAGGCAUCCUCCCACACAGCCCCCAAUGAUCUCUUUCUCCUAGUAUUCCCACCCUUGCAUGCCCCAUAGUGCUAUGGUUAGUCUGUGUGACCACUGCACGUGGCAAAGGUGAUGGCAUGCCACUUCAGAGACUAGGUCAUAAAAGACUGUGGCUUCUGUCUUGGGGAUCGGCUUUCUGUCUCUAAGACUGCUUACUCUGGCGGAAGCAUGCCUAUGGAGAGGCCCGGGGGGCAAGGCACCCAGCAGUGAGUGAGGAAGACCCAGUGAAGAACAGUAUUGCCUGAAAUAAAUCAUGUGAGUGAACUUGAAAGCAAAUUCCACACCUCGGUUGAGUCUUCAGAUGACUGCAGCCCAGACUGACAGCUUCACUGCAACCUCGUGAGAGACCCCGAGCCACACCAAGUUCCUAACCCUUGAACACUGGGAGAUAAUAACUGUUUGUUAUUUUAAGCCACUAAAUUUUGAGGAGUCUUUACCCUCUGCCCUCAAAUCGCACUGGCCUUCUUUGAGUUUAUUAGACAUGACCUACUGGCUCCCAUGAUGAAUUUUGGCCUAUGCUGUUCUCUCUGCUGCAGACACUGUUCUCAAGUUUCUCCCUCUGGCUUCCUCUUCGUAUCUUAGCCAGAUUACUUCCUUUCCUGAUUUGCCAACUAGAUCAACAGUUCACUUGUUCUGGAAUCACCAAGCUAAAUAAAAUACAGCCUGUGACAUGGAAGAGCUCACCAUUUGCUAAAAAAGACUGA
Molecule: long non-coding RNA, 1014 nt
Filed under: Papio anubis (olive baboon)
Lineage: Eukaryota; Metazoa; Chordata; Mammalia; Primates; Cercopithecidae
Description: lncRNA (ENSPANG00000039853.1)
Source: RNAcentral